UUUUUUUUUGUUAGUUUAAAAAAUUUUCAAAGUUGAACACUCAUACAUAGGGUUAAUUGCAAAAUACCCUCAACUAUUAUUAGUUUGUGACUUGCCUCGUAUACAACUGAGUUUUAGCAUUUGACCACCUUGAUGGAUCAAUUUUGGCACCUUACUCUAAUCAAAUAUAAGCCAACAUAAAAAAAUGUUGUGAUAACAUUUUUAUCCUGCUAGGAACUGUUUAAAACCCAAAAUUCCAUAUUAUUUUCUUUAACAUUUUGUCUCUCCUCUCUCCACUAGUUUUCUCAAAUCCUAUUUCUACAAAUUUCAUCAAUCGCCAAAUUCCCAUAUCAAAUGCACUGUCGCAAUUUUCUCUCUAUUCCUUUGGCCCUUCAUCAGAAAUUACCAAGUGUCCAGAAAAUUAAAACAUCUUAUCUGUCCUUUAUGCUCUUGGCUUUUUAACAAGUGAUAAGUCAAAACAAGAGUUUACGUUCAUCAAUUUUUAACUAACCAGCGAGCGAGACUGAAUGGAGCCGCAAAUCGCCCAUUGGAGCUAGAACUUGAGGAGAGCAUCCAUGUGGCUGUAAUGUUCUUUCAACCCUUUAUCAACAGAUCCUUCUAUUCCUCAUUUUCUUUCAUGCAAUGCCUUAUCUUUUUAGAUGUUUUAUUUUUUCUCUAGGAAAAAAAUUGGAAUUUGUGUGACUAUUGCUGAUACUUUUUUCCAAAGGGAAAACUAAAAAAGAAAAAGGCUUCUUACAGUUGCUGUUCUUUUUGAAAGAAAAAAGAGGAAUAAAAGGAAAGUGAUGCAAAUUGGCAGCAAGUAACAAGACUGAUAAACACAAACCAUAGUUUUGACUUUAGGAUGCAACUUACAAAUUAAAGAUAGUUCAAGGGUACAUUUUGCCAUUAACCCUUUUUCAAUAUAUCACAAGUAUUAUUCUGAUUUCACCCACAAAAGAACUCAAAAUGAGCAAAAUGAAUCCAAACCCGGUCCUACUCAACCGUCCAGCCUGUCCAGAAUUGUAGCAUUGGUUGACUUGAGUUUGAACCAGAUUGAAACGUUAGAAGUUACCCAUCGACAAUCAAUAACAUUCCUGGUAGGAGACCUCCCAUGGUAUAGGGGCAUUGGAAGUUGCAAAAUGAUUAAAGCAUUAAUAAUCAGAAGAAAAUGAGAUAAAACUAAGUCGUUGUCAUUGGAUAAAGUAUGGACGGCAGAAUAUGGUUAUCUCUACAAUUAACCAAGAACAAUAAAAGCUGAACAGUGUAAGGCUGAUGAUUAUAGAAAGGGUAAAAUGCAAUUUUCAUCCCUAAUGUUUAAGGUGUUAACCAAUUUCAUCCUAAAGUUUCAUGCAAAACACAUUUCAUUCUUAUAAUUUUAUAAUUUUGAUUAAUUUCAUAGUUAAAGUUUUACGCAAACACAUAUCAUUCUCAUAGUUUCCUAAAUUUGGUUAAUUGAGGACAAUUGGUAGAUUGUCAAAUAAUUUGAAUGGAAUAGCGUCACUUGACCAUGGCAUGCCUAUUAGUUAAAAAAAUAUAUAUUGGAUCAACAAAAACUCAAAAAUCUUUUCUUAAUUCACUUUCUCAUUUUUGUACAAAAAAGACUAAGAAAUUUUUAACCACCAUUACUCCCUUUUUAAUCACAAUCAAACUUGAAGAUCCAAAAAAAAUGAAAUCAGUACAAAAGAAACAACCCUACUAUAGCCAAUUGGAGAAAAAUGUCAAAGAAACCCAUUCCAACUAAUUGGAGAAAAAUAUUAAUGCGAAAGAACAAAUGGUUUGGAUUGUCAUUUAUUUGCAAAAUUUUGUUUGUUGCAUCAUAUACAUGUUUUUCAAUCAUUUAUUUAUCUUUCAAUCUAUUUAUUUUGUAUCAAAUACAUCAUAUCACAAAAACACUCGUUGUUAUUUCUAUAAUUUAAUCAAUAAUUGAAUUAAGUAUUCAUAAUACAAUUAUUAAUGGGACAUGUGAUGUUAUUAUGUCUAAAUUGGUUAAUAAUCAUUUAAUUGUCCUUAAUUGGUAGGAAUUAUAAAAUUAUGAGGAUGAAAUUGUUCUAUACAAACUUUAGGGACAAAAUUGGUCAAAAUUAAAAAUAAUAAGGAUGAAAUGUGUUUUGCAUGAAACUUUAGGGACGAAAUUGAUUAAUACCUUAAACAUUGGGGAUGAAAUGUGCAUUUUCCCUCAUAGAAAAGCAUCUAGAUUCACAGGGUUUUUGAUCUACAAAUCAAGGCUUCUCCAAAAUGGGUUUAUCUCAUAAGCUAUUCAUUAGAAUGACUCAAACUUUAAUUGGUUUUCAAUUUGUCGACCGCAAAAAUUCCUUGAGCUGAUGUGCAAGAUAAAGAAUUCUCUCUCUCUCUCUCUCUAUUGAAGGAUCAUAUAUGGUGAAUUUCUACCUGCUCAUUUGAUGACUUAAAUCAACAAAUUUAGAACUUAUAGAUCCAACUAAUUUAUUGACUAAAUUGCACUGCAUACCAGAAUUAGUAGGUAUUAUUAAUGACCCAUUGGUAAAGGGAGGAGUUUUCCCCACUAUCAGGUUCACACUUCGAAUCUUAAAUCUGAGUUGAGAGUAAGAAGAGUGUGAGAAAAGGAGGGAGGGACAAAAAAGAAAAGAAAAGAAAUAGUAGGCACUAUCAAGGUUAGUGUUAAUGCUAUAGAAAAUGAUGUAGAACAUAGUACACCAACUCAGGACUAGUAAUAAGCUGUGAAAAAGAUAGUUAAGAAUGAACUGUAUUUACAUAAGAAAACAACUCCUGUUGUUGUCUUGUUCACAUCAGAUACAAUUAUAUAUACAGAAAGACAUGAACCCCUCACAAUUAAUACCAACUAACAACUAAAUGACUUCAGUAAACCAAAAGAUAAUUCUAGACUCUACAAAAAAGUAACAAUGGUAAAUGACAAACUAAUUGCUCUUCAUUAGUCUUAAAAAAAUCAACUUUAAUAUUCAACACUUCCCCUUAAAGUGAUUUUUUGGAAACUAAUCCAAGUUUGGCCUUAAGCACCUCAAAAACUGCCUUAGAAAGUGCCUUAGUUAAAAUAUCUGCAACAUUCUUAUCACUUUGUAUGUGUAAAACUUUGAUAAUACCAUCAAGAAUUUUCUCUCCAAUGAAAUGGUGCUUUAAUUCAAUAUGUUUGGCUCUUGCACGACAAACUAGAUUGGAAGCAAGCUUGAUAGCACUUUGAUUGUCACCAAAAACUUUAGUGGGUCUAGAAAUAGGAAGAUAAAUAUCUUUAACAAGCCUUCUAGGCCAUACACAUUCUUUAGUAGCAAGAGCAGUGGCUUUGUAUUCCGUCCUUGUUGUUGAUAGUGAAAUAGAAUCUUGUUUCCUACUACAUCAUGACACUGCUAUUGAACCACACAGAUAUACAUAUGCUGAAGUAGAUUUAUGAUCAUCCAAAUCUCCUCCCAAAUCAGCAUCUGUGUAUCUAUGUAGUGAAAAAUCAGCUCCAUUCUUGUACAGCAAUCCCAUAUCAGAUGUGGUGCUUGUGUACUUCAAAAUUUUCCUUGCCAUUUCUAAAUGUGGCUUCCGUGGUGGUUGAGGAGGGGAAGCAAGAGUUUGAGGAAGGAGAGAGGAGAAGGGAGUUAUGGGUGGUGGUGGUGAAUGGUAUUAUUUUAAAUUUUUUAAAACUAUCUUAAAAAUUUUUAAUUCUAAAAAUACCCCAAAAUACAUUCUCAAAAACAUCCCCAAUAAUAUUCGGUAAGAGUUUUAAAUAUGCACUGCUGCAGUAAAUUUUUUAAAAGAUACCUCUAAAAACACCUAAUCCACAUAGAGCCUUUAAAAAAAAAAAUACAGAGCCUUUAAGUUAGUUUAUUUUCUUCGUCAAAUGUAGGCAAACAUAAAAUGAGUCAAGUAAAAUAUGUUGUUUACAAUAGAAGAAGCGUUAAUGAGUUAGUCAAAUCAUAUGUCAAUCUAGCUUUUAUUCAUUUAUUUUGUUUAAUUAUUUUAAUUUAUUUUUUUGUCUUCUUGAAGUAGGUUUUUUUUUUUUUUUUUUGAAGUAGGGUUGAUUAACCAAUUCACAAUAAUUAUGUGUGUUUGGAUUGUAAAUUAUUUGAGAUAUUUUUACUGUAGUACUUUUUGUGAUCUGAUGUAUGUGAGAUAAAAAGGUAAUUGGGAAGAUAAAAAGGUGUAUUGAAAAUUGUAAUGGUGAUGUAAGCAAAUAUAUUUGGACAAAUAAUCUCCUGUCCAAACACACUAGCACCAAUAAGAAACUUAAAAUAAGUCCUAUAUGCCUAAACUCUAAGUAGUAAAGGCUAUUGCACCAAAGGAAAAAUAUUGAAGAAUAAGAAUUAAUCCACAUUGUCAGGAAGAUAGAUAGAAAAAGGAAAGAAUUAGAGGUGGCAAUGGAUUAUGUGUGGUACCGUAUUCGUGUUGUGUCCUUUUCAUGUUCGUGUCGAAAAAUCUCAACUCGAACCCAAUUCAUUAGGUUUCUGUGUCCUAUUGUGUUGUGUCAUAACUUACAUAUCAACAGGUUGAUACGAUCCAACUCACUUAACCCAUUAAGUAUUUUUAGCCAUAAUAAUCAUGUUAAAUGAACCUGUUUGACACUCUCUUAAACCUAUUAAUUUAUUUAUGUACAUAAUUUAGUGUUGUUAUUAAAGAAUUUUCAAUGACAAAUUGCUCAAUAAGGUCUUCAAAGUUCAAAGUAAUAAAGAAAUGAGUAAAUCUUAUAUACACUGACAAUGUAUACACUAUCAUCGUUAGAUAAAUACCACAUAAAUGAAAUUUAGAUUUGAAAUUCAAAUUUAGCAUAUGUAGCAAUCAUCUAAACAUGACAAUGUACAUACUAUCAAUGCAUAGAAGAUUAAUCCUAAAGAAAUUUAAGAAUUUCAAAAUUUAAAAAAAAAAUUCCAAAACUUUGAAAUUUGUUUUCAACAAAAAACAAAUCUAUAAACGAAACUUGUAAACUCAUGCAACCAUGCAUCUUACUAGCCUUCUUUAUUCAACAACCUUCUUAAUCCACGAACAACCGAAUGACAUUUCCAUUAUCAGGGCAGCGGUUUUGUAGUAUUCAAUUGUCCGUUUGUUUCGACGUAAAAUGUUUUUCAUGGGGAAAAUAUUUUUAGUGAAAGACAUUUUCCAUGAAAAUAUUUUUACGUUUCAUGAUUUUUUGAUUUUUGGUUAACUUUUAAAAUAUCAUUUUGACAGAAUAUCUGCAAGUACUCUACAUUGUUUAUCUUUCUUAAAGACCUAAACUGAUUCUUUCCCAAACGAGUAAAAUGUUUUUCAUGAGAAAAUAUUUUCAGUGAAAGACAUUUUCCAUGAAAAUAUUUUUACGUUUCAUGAUUUUCUGAUGUUUGGUUAACUUUUAAAAGAUCAUUUUGACAGAAUAUCUGCAAGUACUCUACAUUGUUUAUCAUUCUUAAAGACAUAAACUAAUUCUUUCCCAAACAAGAAAAUAAGGUCUCACAAGAAUAUGCAGUCGUGAUACGAAUAGGUAGGGAUGGCAACGGGGGCGGGUUUGAGGACAGAGCACCCCAAAAUUGCCAAAAAAACUCCCCCCGCCCUUUUCCCCCCCCCCCCCCCCGGCUUCUCCUGCAGUUGCUCGUGGUUGAUAAUUUGGUUUUUUCUAGAAUCUUUUAUUCAAUAGAUCAAACCUAAAUUCAAACAAUAAAAUAAAAUACGGAGUUGGAAAAAGUGAAAAAUAAAAAAUGAAACAAGAAAAGUGUUGAAAUAAAACAUCAAGAAAAUUAAGAAACUCAAUUGGAUUGUAUAGAUAAAAUCUGAGAAUAUUCAUAGAACGCAUAAUAUGUUUGUAGCAAAUAUCACCUAGGAAUUUAGAUAGAAAUGAGAUAAAAAUUUUAUUUAGUUGUCGAAUAUUCUAUAUUUAUUAGUAGAUUAUAUAAUAUAUAACAUUUAUUUAUAUUAAUAAAUCGGGGAAUGGGGCGGGGGUCACUCCCCGUUUAAAACAAGGAGAAAAGUUCUCCCCGCCCCCGCCCCCGCCCCAUCGCCCGCACCAUUACUCCUCCCACGGGUACCCGUCCCCGUUACCCCCCUACGAAUAGGUAGUUUGGUAUGUUAGGUUCAUAACUCACGGUAGUUGGGAAAAAUAACUUCAGAAAAUCUAUUGCGUAAGUUGUUUUCCAGGAUUUGGGGCAGGGACGGUCAUCAGUAUCCAUGCACGGUUAAGGGCCAAGAUUUGCCCUCAAAAUUUUGUGCGGCUGAGAUUACACCAUGUAACUCGAUUUCCGCGCCAAGUGUGGGGCCCACCACUAUCUGUUGUGAAAAUACAUCCUGUGAAAAAAAAGUUAUAUCGUGUUUAACCAAUGUUACGCGCAGUGCAAAAUGAAGACAACCUACGCACCUGCAACCGUUUGUGCCCCGUAUCCUGUUUUCCACUAAAGGAUGUAAAUCAUUUGCUGAAGAAAAGGUUUUCAGUGGUCUAAUUGCAUCCAAACAUUGGAAAAUUGGAAAAGGAUUUUUCGAAAAAUAGUUUACACCAAAACAAACGGACACUGAGGCUGUCAUAAAAGGAAAGAAAAACAAGAUGGGGGACAAUUUUUAGUGAUGUUCAUUUUUUUUUUUUAUCAAAUUAGCGUGAUAACCUGCAGGCUAGUCCAAUUCGACCUGCUUAAGUUAAUAUCGUUAAUGAAUUGGCUCAAUAAUAAUUCACUUACACUCAAAUCGUGAUAAACUUAAAACUUUUGGAUUGUAUUUUAAUCGUAUUAUCUUGCCGCUUCAGAAAUUGUCAUCCUUAAAAAGAAUUAUUCACAUGGCCCUAAUUAUUGGACAUGUCCACAUGUAACGAUCUAGCUAAGCAUUAGGGCUUUUCAGACCAACCCUACAAUUCUUGCACAUGGACAUCCCAAGGACAUUAACAAGAAUAUACAGGUUUCUGCUCAUUUUCAUCAUAAAUGCAUCAAAUUCUAUGGACAGGUGUCUAAUAUUUGGCUGAAUAACAUAUGAGCUUUUUACUCAUAAAAUUUACAAUUUUCCAUGCCACAAUUAAAAUGAAAGAAUACCACGCCACGAGGAAAAAAAAAAGAUCAUAGCAGAAUUUCCUAUUUAACAAAUUCGAAGCUUAAAUUUGUCGAAGAAAAAGAAAUUGUCACUGAAGCAAAAUACCAAUUGCAGUGACAUCCAAAAUUUUUCUAUACAAAAGAAAAGACAUCUAAAGAUAACCAAUUUUAAGAUACUAUCAGAUGUGAAACAAAAAAAUAAUAAUAAUAAAAUAAAAGGAAAAAUUGGCAAAGUGAGAUGAAUGAAUCAGUCAGAGAUCAAAUGCAGCAAAGAUUGGCUGGGACCUGGUGUAACCAAGGCUGGACUUGGAGGGCUCAAUGCUGGUGGUGGAGCUUGUGAAACCAAUGGCGGUGGAGGCGGCGGAGGUGGCGAAGAUAAUGGUGGAACUGGAGGUACUGGAGGUGUUGGUGCUGGUAAUGGUGGUGGUGGUGGUGGUGGUGGUACUGAUGUAGAGGGAUUUUGUGGGCUAGGAAUUUCACCACCCGCAGGCGGUGCUAGUCCUCCUCCUCCUGCUGGUGGUGGUGGUGGUGGUACUGAACUUUCGCUAGGACUAGGAUUAGGAUUAGGAUUUGGAGUAGGACUUGUAAGAGACGAGCUUGGUGGACUGGGGUUAGGCACCACUGGAGAUUGGUAACAAGCAUCACCAGAACAUUUGCUGUUGUGGGACUUGUGAUUGCCAUGCCUAAGAAGCCCAAAUCCCAAGAUGAGUCCAGUCACAACAAGAACUGUGAUAAUGAAGAUGAAGAUCUUGGUUGCCUUCCCCACAUAACACAUCUUUUCCUUUCCUCUUUUGCACUUUCACUUUUAGUACUAUGCUCUGGUUUGCGCUCAGAAAUGGGCUCAGGAAUCAGAAUUGGUAUGGUAGAUUGGCAGGGAUGGUUUUUGGUUGUCUUUGUUAAAGACAGAAAAUGUGAGGUGAGUUGUGGUGAGUUUUGUGAUAUUUGAGGUAAUAGUACAGUACAUUUUGACAUACUAGUAUUUAUUUCUAGUGCUCUUUAUGUUGUUGUUUUCUUCUUUUUCUCUUGGUUCUUGUCAUGGUGUAGAGAGUGAAGAUGAAGAGGGACAAGUAAGCAUUUGAUGAGCAGGGAAAGAUGGGGUUGGAUUUGGGCAUUUCACUUGGUUUUGGUUGGUUGGAGGGGGAAAAUGUGCAGACUGGCACAUGGAACCAAUGAAGGUGGGGAAAAAAAAAAUAGUGGAGUAGUAUUUGUUUUGCUUGUAAUUUUUGGCUGUUUCUUGAUUAUGCUAAUGACAAGUUAUUAGAUUUUGGAAGAGAGUGUUUUGUUUUGAGAAUAUAGUGAAUCCUGAAUUGAGAACUUUUUAAAUUGGCUGUAGUAACUCUUGAUCCCUCGUAUUGGUUGUUGAGUUAAUGACUUAAUGUGAGUAAUUUUUCUUGACAUUAUCCUCAUGUUUUUUCACCAGCUUUUGAUUAUUGAUUUACUCCAUUGCGUUGAAAAAGCAAAGGUAGGGAUGAGAAGACCAGCAAAACAAUCCCUUUUGGGUAACAAGACAGGAAUUCAGCGAGUAUGUAGUCGCUUAAGUUUUUAUUUAAUAGAAUGUGUAAUGUGUUUUUUUUCUUUUUGUCUGGUAGAAUAUUAUUUGAAAUAAUUAUUAUAGUAUUUUUUGAGAUAUAAUAUAUAUGAGAUAAAAAAAUUUGUUAAAAAAUUUAAAAAAAAUUGAUUAAAAGUUAUAUUUUCUAUAUAAGCAAAAUAUUAUUUAGAAUAACUUAAUCCAAAUAGAGUGAAUGACUUGAGUUGGACAUUCUACCCUUAUCCCUUGGAGCCUUCCCGCUAACUACUGGGCUGGAUGAACACCAGAUUGCUAAUGACGAACUUGUCACAUCUGAAAUGGGCAGAAAAUGUCGGAAAAUGUAUAUCCGUAUUCUUCUUUGUUCUUACAAAUUUGGAUAUGUUUGUAGAUCACAAUUUUUUUAAAUAUUAGUUUGCUUGCAUUACAAAUAUAUUUUUUUUUAUUUUAUAUAUAUCACGUCACAAAAAGUAUCAUAAUAAUUAUUUCAAAUAAAUUUUUUUUCUUUUUUUUUUAAGGAAAAUCCAAUUGGAUUAUAUAAGGGACUAGAGGAGAGAUAGACUCGUUUAGAUCAAAAGAGUAAUCUGACAUAUUCGAGAGAUAGAUCCAUCGAGAUAAAAAUGAUGCAUUAGCAUACCCUUUGAAUUGUUUUAACUGCACAAUGCGGGAUUUAAACUUUCAACCUAUUCAAACAAGAAUUUUAAAUCCGUUUUGGUAGCCAACUUGCUUAAGACAAGUUGGUUGUGAGUUAAAAUACCAUCUGAUGAGAUGAACUGAUAUUUGUUUUAUAGUUAAAAAUUAGAAAUUCCAAAAUGUUUGGGACUGUUAGCAAUCUGGCAAACUGUCAACGUUCAGCCCUUCCAAUGUCACUUUAAUGCAUCUCAUCACUUAUGCUUUAGACAACAAACAAUUCAAUUUUAACAAACCAAUCUGGCAAAUUGUCAACGUUAAGGAAUUGUGGACAAUGAGGUGGCCUUUAAAGUUGUAACUUCCAACAAAGAAUCAAAUGUAAUGAAAUCCAACUAUUAAGUAUUAAGGAAUGAAUAUGAAUAGGAAACACAAGGAUUUAAAAUGUGUUUAAGCUGCAUUACAAGAAAUCAAUGAGUCUGUUUGGAGAGAAUUGUUCACAAGGCAAAACACAAAAGAUUGCAUUUCUUCCGGUAUUGUUUGGACUGUUGAUUAUUUGCACAAAAAAAAUUUAUUUGCUUUUAUCAGCAACAAAUUUUUUAAUCAUCUUUUUAUUUCACAUACAUCAUAUCAAAAAAUGCUAUAGUAUUUUUUUAAAAAAAUUAUCCCAAAUAAUUUACUAUUCAAAAAUAUAUUUGCUUGCGUUUCUUCGGAUUCGUUACUUUUGCAGUUUUACAUUCUACUUCUUUUCUAUUUUUUUGUGGGGAAUCAAUUAUUUUCUUAUUUUAGUUUAAGGAAUUAAAAUGGUGAAUUUUGAAUAAGAACAGAGAAAAUUAUUAAAUGGAUAUGUGUUGAGCACCUGUAGGAGGGAAUAUUUUGGAAAACGAGCCCGAUAUUUUGUCCGCCAUGUCAACCCUUGACCUAAUCUGGCAAAACGUCAGAUCUGUUCGUCAGCUCCUUGGUUCCAUAAUUGCCCUUAAUAUUCCAGUUAAAUUACCAAAUUGACACAGUCGCUUUUUUACCCAUAGCUGUAUUUGGAUUAGCUGUUUUUGAAGGUAUUUUUUAAAAACUUUACUGUAACUGUGUAUAUGAAAAAUUUUUACUGUAAAUGUUUUUUUGAUUGUAUUUAGAGGUAUUUUUAAAAUAUAUUUUUAAGUAUUUUUAUAAUUUAUAAUUUUUUUGAGAUAUUUUUUUUAAAAUUUUACACGACCCACCACUAUUCCCGCCCUUUUCUUCUCCUUCUCUCCUUUCUCUUCCUCUCAUCCUCCUCUCUAUUUCCUCCCCCUCCUCCUCCCUCUUUCCUCUCCCGUCUCCCUUCUCCACCCUCCCCUCAACCCCAAACCCCUCUCUCGCUCGCAGGUGGUGGCUGUGACUUUAGCCACCACUCUAACAACGACAGUUUUGGUUGCGGCUUCUGCUCGUGAUCAGAUUUGAUCGUGACUAAAAAGGUUGCGAUCAGUCGAGGGGAAGGAAAUUGGGGAGCGGGGAAAGGGAAAGAAGAAAUGAGGAAGGAGAAAAAGAGGGAGGAGGAGAAAAAAUGAAGGAGGAGGAGGAGAGAGGAAGGAAAGAGGGGAGGAGAGAGAGAGGAGAGAGGAGAGAGGAGAGAGGAUCGUGGGUGUGGUGGUGGAAAGUGAUGGAUAGUUGUGUAUUUUUUUAGUAUAUUUGAAAUUAUUUUUGAUAUAUUGUAUGGAUAUGAUAUUUUUGGAGUUAUUUUUGUUUGUGUAUUACUGUAGCAUUGUAGAUGAAAAAAAUUGUUUUUCAAAAAAGUCUGAAUCCCCCAAUAGAGAGUGCGCCCACGCACAUUACUGCACUGGACCGUAUUGAAGAAUCGAUGUCAAUUGAAUCACCAUUAAAUCAGACGGAUACAUUACACACUCAUAUAAAUUUAAGUCACUUAAAAUCUAAGUUAGUAUAAUGACAAGUGGUGAGCGAAAAAUUUGAAUAUUUAAUCUUCCAUUCCACAAAGUCUUGAGAUCAUGGUAAUGGCCAACAGUCAUUUUCACUGCACAACUAUUUAACCUCAUAAUAUUCUUCAAGUAGUGGGCACGCCCAUCGAGGUUAGUACAAUUAACUCAUUCAUUCUUGACGCGCUAGCAGUAGCGUGUGAUUAAUAACUCUUAACUUCCCUCCGAACUGUGGAUUUUUUUUCCUUUCAAUUUUGUCCAAUUGAUCGAGGACAGAAGGGAUUAAUUGCAGUAGGAGUAUUUAGGCAAUUAGAAUAUUUCAUACACUUUUUUUUUUUGGUUUAAGAAUAUUUCAUACACUGCAAUGAUGCUUGGUUUAGCAGUAUACACGACCAAAGUCAAAUUUCAGAAGAGAUUCUGUUUAAAUUUCAUAAUUAGAGCUAUAGUUCUACACAUAAGGCUAGUAUUUGUCUCACCUUCUGCAAGUUAAUUAUCAUAUUAUAUGCAGAUAAUAUAUAUAUAUAUAUAUAUAUAUAUAUAUAUAUAUAUAUGAAAACUCAGCUAAACUAAAGGGAUAGAAUCUCCAUAAUGUGUAUAAUAAUUUAAGGAACCUAUCCUUCCUAUCAAAUUUUAAAGAUAAAACAUCCUUGAAGCUAUCCUAGUAAAAAUGGCCUUUGAUUAAGGAAAAUUUAAUUGGGUUAGUGAACUUUGAUGAUUGAAAAGGAACAAACUCAAGUCAGCUAAGUUACAGUCCCUUCAUAUGUCGCGGUUCUAAUCUUUCAACUAUCAUAAAAUACUCUAAUAAUAAACAUAGAUGGCGAUUCUAAUCUCCCAAAAAACAACUAUUAUAUGAUGCUUUUAUAACCAACCCUCUUGGAUCCUCCCCUUCUCAAGGACUAGGUUAGAAAUUAUCAUCCCGAUACAAAAAUAAAGACAAGUGAAACAGAUAAUCUUAUUAACAUUUAAAAUGUUAACAAAGAAAAUGUUCCAUAAUGAAAUAAGACGGAAUAGAAUUUUCUCUCUCUUUUUUUGGGUACUUAUGGAAUCUUCUCUCCCAGAAGUCACUUCGGGGCUCCGACUCAUUGGCCAGUGAGGCAGCGAUUAAUAAAUUUCUUGGCCAUUCUCUGGAAAGAGGAGGGUAAAUUUCUAGAACUCCUUUCCACAGACUAUGACUUGGAUUUACUGGCUAAUCGAAACAAAUGGAUGACAAUGACAGAAAAUGCUGUCAAAGUCAGGAAUUGCAUAUGAAAAUGUUUGAAGAUUUUCCAUAGCCAGCUACUACAGUAUACAGUCAGUUUCAUCUUUUAUUUUCCCCACCACACUUGCAACUACUAAUGACCAGAGGACUACAAUACUCCAAAACAUGUCAAUUUCUAGAUCAAUGCAGCCCACACGAAAUGGUUCAAGAAGCAGGAAAUGGAAAGAAUCAAGGAUCCAGCUUGUUUGAGUAACCUCCAUGUCCUUAUUCUAGAUUUUUAUGUUGAGCUUACCACAACACUCAUCCAGCAAAAAUCACAAUGACAAGCAUUAUAACCUCAAAACCAACUGGAACACUUAGAAGAACAGGAUUCCACAAAGCACAACUGCUCUCAAGCCUGCCGAACAAAAUUGAGCGGAAGAAUGGACAAGGCCUCAGGUAUAAUCUCACAUUUCGUUCUCACAGAAGGAUGCAAAACCGUCAAGUAAUAGCUUCUGACGUUUCGACCACGCAAGCAGAGGUAACUUGAAGUGAAGUAUAAUAACCAUUGCAGGUUCUCUCUCUCUCUCUUACAUUUCAAACCCCCCCCCCCCUCUUUGCCCGAACCCAACCCAAAAUUAUAUUCUCUUUUUCCAGAAUUCUAUUGGAUGCAAAUGCACUUGUUAAGAUGUCUGGGAAAUGAAUGCAACCCUAAAUCCUAGUAUAGUUCCAAUCCUGCUGUCAUUAUUCCUAGCAACAGCUCUUAAGUUGAAAUCAGACGAGCUACCGGAGCAUGAAAAGGAAAUUAGUAGUGGAGAUUUUCUCCUCCUUCAGCACCCAAUCACCCAUGAAGUCACGUUACUGCCAUGAUAACAUGACUUCACGGCCAACAACCUAUUAGCAGCCUUCUCCAAGUUCUUUAUUAUCGCACCUAUUUUUACAGUCUGAUUGAAUAAGUACUAAAAUGUUCCUAAACCACAGAAUGCAUGCACCAAGUGUUUGUGUGAUACUUGCUCUUAUUUGACAUGUGAUUCUCAAAACCAAUCACAAGUCAGCAAUCAUAAAAAGUGAAAAAUAAGUCAAGGAUAAGACAAGGAAAAGCACAGCAUAUAACAUCAAAGCUUGCAGUACCAACACAUUUGUAGUUUAUCCAAACCAAUAAUAAUCAGAUAACUGCAAGCAAGAGAAGAAACUGUGCUUUCAUUUUUCUGUGAUACAUAUUUAAGCUUACCCUUUUUCCCACCCAGGGUACAGCUCCGAAACCCUCACAUAGCAUAUUGGUAAACUAUGUACCAGUUUAUGUCAUGCUCCAGGUGAGUCAUAAUCUCUACUUUAAAGCACAAAAUACAUUACAUUCCAAUUAGGUGGUGGGAAACAAUAACUGCCUUAAAAUCACAUAUUCCUUUUCAGUUUAUUCUAAACAUUUCUGCUGGUGAUACAGCUAGAUGUUAUUUCAACAAACAAUGCUAUCUCAAACCAAGAAAAGCUUGAGAAGCAGCUGCACGAACUCAGACUAGCUGGAGUUGAUGGCAUCAUGGUUGAUGUCUGGUGGGGCAUUGUAGAAUCCAAGGGUCCUAAAAGCUAUGACUGGUCUGCUUACAGAAACUUGUUCCAAUUAGUUCAAAAACAUAACCUUAAAAUACAAGCAAUCAUGUCAUUUCACCAAUGUGGUGGCAAUGUAGGAGAUGCUGUUUAUAUUCCACUCCCAAAAUGGAUUCUUGAAAUAGGAGUAGAGAAUCCUGAUAUAUUCUAUACAAACCGAUCAGGUACUAGGAAUAAGGAGUGCCUCUCACUUGGAGUAGAUAACUUGUCUCUCUUUGAAGGUCGAACUGCUGUCCAGGUAGAUGAUUUCCAUGAAAUUCUCUAAUGCUGUUCAAAGAUCAUGUACUUAACCAUUAUAAAAGCUCUUUUCUUGAGCUAAAAAGAUGUCAAAAAAGAAAGGUUGACUUAAAAAUCUGGUGUUUGGGUAAAAUCCUUUAAAAUUAUCAUUUGGUUUGUGGCCAUGUUUUCAUUAGUAUGCCAAAUAUAGAGCCUGCUUCCUGACCAAGAGUUUUAUUAAAUAAAACUAAAUCCACUCUUAUAAGUUGAAAGAGUAUCGAGCUUCAAACUGUUGGUAGUAAACUCUGGUCUGCCCUUUAGCUGACAGUGGUCACAAGAAUUAUACCAAUCACAUGUAGGAGAUGAGGUUUGACAUAAGCAGCUCACAAUUUCUGUGUUCCUCUGUCUUUAUUAUACAAUUUCUUAUUCCUCGUAGUGCUUUUGAAGGCCUAACAUUAACCUAAUGAACUAUUGAGCCUAGCAUAUUGUCAUUUCAGUUUUGAUUUGUAAUUAAUCUCCGAAUGUUUUAGAUGUAUAGUGACUAUAUGAACAGCUUCAGAGAGAACAUGUGACUUUUUGGAAGCAGGAACUAUCAUAGACAUUGAGGUAGGCUUAGGACCAGCAGGAGAGCUCAGAUAUCCAUCAUACGUAAAAACUCAAGGAUGGAAAUUUCCAGGGAUCGGAGAAUUUCAGGUUAGAUUUUCAGCCUAUUUGUUGUAAGACUACAUCUUAUCCUCCCGUUAAUCAAAAGAAAGUCAUUCCUAACUAAUGUUCUUUCAAAACUAACACACAAUCAUAACAUAUUUCAGUGCUAUGACAAAUACUUAAGGGCAGAUUUUAAAGAGGCUGCAAAAAAGGCAGGAUAUCCUGAAUGGGAUGCGCCAGACAAUGCAGGAACGUAUAAUGACACACCAGAAAAUACAGGCUUCUUUGGACCAGACAGGAUAUACCUCUCAGACUACGGGAAUUCCUUCUUGACCUGGUACUCCAACAACUUAUUGAAACACAGUGAUCACAUCCUCGGGGAAGCCAACAAAGCUUUUCUGGGAUGCAAAGUCAAGCUGGCAGCUAAAGUAAAUGCUCAAUAAAAAGAAUAACACUUAAAGUAGUGCUUUCCCUAGACAUACUAUUAAAAUUUUCUUAUACCCACUGCAUUAACAGGUCUCUGGUUCCAUUGGUGGUACAAGGAUGACACUCAUGCUGCAGAGUUAACUGCAGGAUACUAUAGCUUAAAUAAUAGAGAUGGGUACAGACCUAUAGCCAGGAUGUUGUCUAGGCAUUAUGCUUGCUUAAGCUUUACAUGUCUAGAGAUGCUGCAGAGUUAACUGCAGGAUACUAUAACUUAAAUAAUAGAGAUGGGUAGAGACCUAUAGCCAGGAUGUUGUCUAGGCAUUAUGCUUGCUUAAGCUUUACAUGUCUAGAGAUGAGAGAUUCUGAACAUCCAGCAAUAGCGAAGAGUGGACCUCAAUAACUAGUUCGACAGGUUAGUUAUGUAGGAAAAGGCAAUUCUUAAUCAUGAAAUUAUCCACCCUGUCUUAAAGCUUGUAAGAAACUAUCCUUUUCCAGUUACAGAUAUAGUUAGUGAGAUAUACCAAGACAAAUCUUGUUAAAAAAAAAGAGAAAAAAAAAACUUAAGACCUUUCCUAGCUGAACGAUACUCACAUCUAGACAUUUGUCACACUUGUUACACAUUUUUGUGCAGGUUUAAGGUGCUGGCUGGAGAGAAAACAUUGAUGUUGCAGGAGAAAAUGCACUUUCAAGUUAUGAUCGUGUAGGCUACAAUCAAAUCCUCCUUAAUUCUAGGCCAAACUGUGUCAACAAAAAUACUUCACCAAAGCUGAAGUUGUCAGGAUUGACUUACCGCCGACUAUCAGAUAAACUACUAGGUCGGAAGAACUUCAGCAUAUUCAAAACUUUCGUUAAAGAAUGCAUGCUGACCAGGUUAGCGGCUUUCCACAAACAUGCACACAAGGAACAUAGAUGAAAAAGAAGAUAUGAUACUUGAACAUUAAAAAUGGCCAUGAUCUCUUAAUAUUUCUAUGUCUAAUAUCAUUACUAUCUUUUCUUAGGAUUAUGAUCCAGAUCACAUCAACUUACCAGCCCUGAAAGCAUUCAAACCGAAGAUUUAUUUUGACCAACUUUUUGAUGCAACUAAACCAAUUGAGCCAUUUCCUUGGGAUGAAGAAACCUAUAUGAGCGUGGGUGCUUCAUUCUUUGAAUUCUUGGACAAUCUCUUUCACCAUUGUUCUCCAUACAAAAGUGAGGGAAAUUAUUUAGCUUCUUGAACCCCGUGAAGGGAUCUCUCUCUCUCUAACCAACAGGAAAAAGGGUGAAAAUUAUACGACAUGAAGGCAAUUUGCUACUUCCUGAGCUCUCAUACACCCCCCAUUAAUAUCAUAGCUUGUUACUGUAAGCACCACAGCAUUUAUCCACUUUAAAUUUUGCUUAAUUGCAUACCCAUGUGUCUAUGAAUCUAGAAUCUGAAAAACCUAUUUUUGAGCAUUGAAAAGCUUUCUUAACAUUUAUAAUCCACUAAUUCUAUAGUAGGAAAAUGUCACCCAGUUUCCAUAUGAAGCUUCUGUAACGGUGAUUGCAUAAAAGGAGGGCCAAAAAGUUCAUCUAUUUGAGGUGAACCAUCAACUCACUCAGAGGUGACAUGGAAAUAACUACCAAAAUCUAACUUGACCGAAUUAAACUAUCACUGAUCAUCAGUCAUUUUUUAGAUACAAGCUUGAUACAAAGACUAAAAGCAUAGCAAUAUUACCACAUUUCCUCUCCCUGAACCACAUCUUUUCAUCUAGGAAUAGCUAAAAGACGUCUGACCAAGCAUGAAUGAGAAAAUAUCAACCGCAUAAGAAGUUAAGGCAUACUGGCUCAAAAUCAGAUGCUAGAACUCAGAAGCAUGACUAGAGGUGGCACAUAAUUUAAAUCACUAAGCUACAAAAACUUCAAGAAAUAAAAGCUUCUUAUACCUCAUAGAUGUUGCCAAGGAAAAUGAGAUUUUAGCAAAAUGAUUGCUUUCACAUUUCACUAUGUUAAAAUUGCUGCAGCAUUACAUCUAAAACUGAAGGAAGAUUUUGAUUGAUUCCUCUUUAACUUCAAGCAUUAACCAUCUUCCUUCCAGUUUUCUCUUAACACAAAAUACAGAAAAAAAAAUUGAAGGAAAAAAGACAAUAAAAGAAAAAGCCUAUCCAUUUUCCUCACCAAAAAUUCUGUGUUCCAAUCG
RNAcentral lists this long non-coding RNA (17206 nucleotides) under Coffea arabica (coffee). RNAcentral describes it as "long non-coding RNA (CARA_LNC003528)". Lineage: Eukaryota; Viridiplantae; Streptophyta; Magnoliopsida; Gentianales; Rubiaceae. The record is from RNAcentral.